AAUCCCCUCUACUUAGUGCCCCGUAAGGGGCGCAAGCCUAGUGGCGAAAGGGUGAGUAAUGCAUUGAUAACCUGCCUUUGGGAUGGGAAUAACUGCGUUUCGAGCAAUCGGAACUACCGAAAGGGCUGCUAAUACCCAAUAAUACUAUAGGUGCAAAAGCACUUGUGGUCAAAUGCUAGGAAUUCUGUUCCUUGUGCUUAAAGAGGGGUUAAUGUCCUAUCAGCUAGUUGAUGGGGUAAUGGCCUACCAAGGCGAAGACGGGUAGCCGGCCUGAGAGGGUGGUCGGCCACACUGGGACUGAGACACUGCCCAGACUCCUACGGGAGGCUGCAGUCGAGAAUCUUUCGCAAUGCCCGAAAGG
RNAcentral lists this ribosomal RNA (361 nucleotides) under Candidatus Brocadia anammoxidans. RNAcentral describes it as "bacterial SSU rRNA". It matches the Rfam family "Bacterial small subunit ribosomal RNA", at positions 59 to 382 of the family's 1533-position model. Lineage: Bacteria; Pseudomonadati; Planctomycetota; Candidatus Brocadiia; Candidatus Brocadiales; Candidatus Brocadiaceae. The record is from RNAcentral.